Molecule: ribosomal RNA, 529 nt
Filed under: uncultured bacterium
Lineage: Bacteria
Description: bacterial SSU rRNA
Rfam family: Bacterial small subunit ribosomal RNA
Source: RNAcentral
AAUAGAUACCCGGGUAGUCCACGCCGUAAACGUUGGGCGCUAGAUGUGGGGACCUUUCCACGGUUUCCGUGUCGUAGCUAACGCAUUAAGCGCCCCGCCUGGGGAGUACGGCCGCAAGGCUAAAACUCAAAGGAAUUGACGGGGGCCCGCACAAGCGGCGGAGCAUGCGGAUUAAUUCGAUGCAACGCGAAGAACCUUACCAAGGCUUGACAUAACCGAGAACACCGUAGAAAUACGGGACUCUUUGGACACUCGGUUACAGGUGGUGCAUGGUUGUCGUCAGCUCGUGUCGUGAGAUGUUGGGUUAAGUCCCGCAACGAGCGCAACCCUCGUCGCAUGUUGCCAGCACGUCAUGGUGGGAACUCAUGUGAGACUGCCGGGGUCAACUCGGAGGAAGGUGGGGAUGACGUCAAAUCAUCAUGCCCCUUAUGUCUUGGGCUUCACGCAUGCUACAAUGGCCGGUACAAAGGGCUGCGAUGUCGUAAGGCGGAGCGAAUCCCAAAAAGCCGGUCUCAGUUCGGAUUGAGGU